AACAGGAUUAGAUACCCUGGUAGUCCACGCCGUAAACGUUGGGCGCUAGGUGUGGGGCUCAUUCCACGAGUUCCGUGCCGCAGCAAACGCAUUAAGCGCCCCGCCUGGGGAGUACGGCCGCAAGGCUAAAACUCAAAGGAAUUGACGGGGCCCCGCACAAGCGGCGGAGCAUGCGGAUUAAUUCGAUGCAACGCGAAGAACCUUACCAAGGCUUGACAUGCAGGGUAAUCCGGCAGAGAUGUCGGGUCCGCAAGGGAUCUUGCACAGGUGGUGCAUGGUUGUCGUCAGCUCGUGUCGUGAGAUGUUGGGUUAAGUCCCGCAACGAGCGCAACCCUCGUCCUAUGUUGCCAGCGCGUGAUGGCGGGGACUCAUAGGAGACUGCCGGGGUCAACUCGGAGGAAGGUGGGGAUGACGUCAAAUCAUCAUGCCCCUUAUGUCUUGGGCUUCACGCAUGCUACAAUGGCCAGUACAAAGGGCUGCGAGACCGUGAGGUGGAGCGAAUCCCAAAAAGCUGGUCUCAGUUCGGAUCGGGGUCUGCAACUCGACCCCGUGAAGUCGGAGUCGCUAGUAAUCGCAGAUCAGCAACGCUGCGGUGAAUACGCUCCCGGGGCUUGUACACACCGCCCGUCACGUCACGAAAGUUGGUAACACCCGAAGCCGGUGGCCUAACCCUUGUGGGGGGAGCCGUCGAAGGUGGGACUGGCGAUUGGGACGAAGUCGUAACAAGGUAACC
This 733-nucleotide ribosomal RNA is filed under the name uncultured bacterium. Its description in RNAcentral is "bacterial SSU rRNA". It matches the Rfam family "Bacterial small subunit ribosomal RNA", at positions 771 to 1501 of the family's 1533-position model. The record is from RNAcentral.